This 353-nucleotide unclassified non-coding RNA is filed under the name soil metagenome. RNAcentral describes it as "partial contains 5.8S ribosomal RNA, internal transcribed spacer 2, and large subunit ribosomal RNA". The stretch from base 1 to 120 matches the Rfam family "5.8S ribosomal RNA", at positions 35 to 154 of the family's 154-position model. The record is from RNAcentral.
GAUGAAGAACGCAGCGAAAUGCGAUAAGUAAUGUGAAUUGCAGAAUUCAGUGAAUCAUCGAAUCUUUGAACGCACAUUGCGCCCGCCAGUAUUCUGGCGGGCAUGCCUGUUCGAGCGUCAUUACAACCCUCAGGCCCCCGGGCCUGGCGUUGGGGAUCGGCGGAAGCCCCCUGCGGGCACAACGCCGUCCCCCAAAUACAGUGGCGGUCCCGCCGCAGCUUCCAUUGCGUAGUAGCUAACACUUCGCAACUGGAGAGCGGCGCGGCCAUGCCGUAAAACACCCAACUUCUGAAUGUUGACCUCGAAUCAGGUAGGAAUACCCGCUGAACUUAAGCAUAUCAAUAAGCGGAGGA